CCCGAUGAACCUGAAUAUCCGUUAUGGAAAAUUCAUCAUUAAAAUUGUAAUAUUUAAAUAAUAUUAUGAGGAUAGUGUGCAUUUUUUCCAUAUAAGGACAUUGUAAUCUAUUAGCAUAUCCCAAAUUUAUCAUAAAAUAUAACUUAUAGUUUAUUCAAAUUAAAGUGCUUGCAUUUUAACACAGAAUAAAUGUUAUUAAUUUGAUAAAGUGCUGAUAGAUUUAUAUGAUUACAGUGCGUUAAUUUUUCGGAAUUAUAUAAUGGCAUAAUUAUCAUUGAUUUUUAUGUUUAUUAUAUGCACUUGUAUGAUUAACAAUGCGAAAGAUUCAGGAUACUUCGGG
Molecule: ribosomal RNA, 340 nt
Filed under: Drosophila teissieri
Lineage: Eukaryota; Metazoa; Arthropoda; Insecta; Diptera; Drosophilidae
Description: eukaryotic LSU rRNA
Source: RNAcentral